UACGUAGGGGGCAAGCGUUAUCCGGAUUUACUGGGUGUAAAGGGAGCGCAGACGGCAGCGCAAGUCCGGGGUGAAAGCCCGCGGCCCAACCGCGGGACUGCCCUGGAAACUGUGCGGCUGGAGUGCCGGAGAGGUAAGCGGAAUUCCUAGUGUAGCGGUGAAAUGCGUAGAUAUUAGGAGGAACACCAGUGGCGAAGGCGGCUUACUGGACUGUAACUGACGUUGAGGCUCGAAAGCGUGGGGAGCAAACAGG
This 253-nucleotide ribosomal RNA is filed under the name uncultured bacterium. RNAcentral's name for it is "partial 16S ribosomal RNA". It matches the Rfam family "Bacterial small subunit ribosomal RNA", at positions 524 to 776 of the family's 1533-position model. The record is from RNAcentral.